Molecule: transfer RNA, 71 nt
Filed under: Marmota monax (woodchuck)
Lineage: Eukaryota; Metazoa; Chordata; Mammalia; Rodentia; Sciuridae
Description: tRNA.Ala
Source: RNAcentral
GGGGUUGUGGCUCAGAGGUAGAGUGCUCACCUAGCAUGCGUGAGGCACUGGGUUUGAUCCUCAGCACCACA